CUACGGGGCGCUCCAGUGGGGAAUAUUGCACAAUGGAGGAAACUCUGAUGCAGCAACGCCGCGUGGAGGAUGACACAUUUCGGUGCGUAAACUCCUUUUAUGUGAGAAGAUAAUGACGGUAUCACAUGAAUAAGCACCGGCUAACUCCGUGCCAGCAGCCGCGGUAAUACGGAGGGUGCAAGCGUUACUCGGAAUCACUGGGCGUAAAGCGCGCGCAGGCGGCUUUUCAAGUUGGAUGUGAAAUCCUAUGGCUUAACCAUAGAACUGCACCCAAAACUGUUAAGCUAGAGUCUGGGAGGGGAAGAUGGAAUUAGUUGUGUAGGGGUAAAAUCCGUAGAGAUAACUAGGAAUACCAAAAGCGAAGGCGAUCUUCUGGAACAGUACUGACGCUGAGGCGCGAAAGCGUGGGGAGCAAACAGGAUUAGAUACCCGUGUAGUC
Molecule: ribosomal RNA, 439 nt
Filed under: uncultured bacterium
Lineage: Bacteria
Description: partial 16S ribosomal RNA
Rfam family: Bacterial small subunit ribosomal RNA
Source: RNAcentral